CUCAGUCGGUAGAGCAUCAGACU
RNAcentral lists this non-coding RNA (23 nucleotides) under Xenopus tropicalis (tropical clawed frog). The record is from RNAcentral. Lineage: Eukaryota; Metazoa; Chordata; Amphibia; Anura; Pipidae. RNAcentral also lists the same sequence under 1 other name.